UCCCUUUCACUCAGAAUUAAUUUAAUAUAACAGCAGAUCCGGUUGAAACACUUACAAAAAAAAUUAUGAGAUCUUCAACCUAAUAACACUUACAACAAAAAUUACGCACAACUAGGAAAGAAAUCUAGAAUAAUAGAGCCUUCAAAUAUUUCCUCAUUCUAGGCCUCCCAUAUUCACCAACAUGCCAAAACAAAAACCCUUUGCUAUCGGUAGUGCAAUGCCGCAACCAGUAUUAGCUGUUUUCUGCAUUACUAUUGACUUGAACAUUAAGCAAAUUGGAGGAUGGUUUCUUCACUCCUACCACCUGAAACAAACUAUGUUUGCCCAAGACUAGUAAAAUCCUUCUUCCGAUUCACCAAAUCACUCACUGUAAUAGGGAAUCCCAUAAAAAAAGCCUUUUUGUGGAUCAGCAGACAGUCACCAGCAAAACUGAAGAAAAAAUAAACAAACAUUUAGCUAGAGCAAAAACACAAACUAUAAGAAAUCUGACCAGAUAAUUGAACUAAUUUGGUGGGAUGCACCGGCACUUUGCAAAAGUGCAAAACAAAGACUAUGCAUAAGAAACCAAGUAGCAAGCUACUUUGAUGGUUCUCUCCCUCAAAAAAUUAAUUUAAUAUCGUGUGAACUAAUAGUCCACAUAUCAGAUAUUAAACUGGUAAGAACAGAUACUACACUUGAUCUUAGCCAAAAGGCCGAGAAAAGUAUGAAUUGAAAAUGUCAAGUGUUUAAAUUUUAUAUCUCAAGCUUCAACUGUUUCCUUAAAAAUUCCUUUAAAAAUUUAUUAAAAAAUCAAUACUUCCUCUUUAACAAAAAAAAAAAACAGAGAAAAAUAUGCCAUAAGUAGUUGAAGUGAUCAUUUUUUAUACCCCAAACUUCAUCUACCUGUCAGUGUUCUGACAAAUCUGUGACUUCAUAACUUGAGUAAUGCUCCCAACAUGAUUUCCUGUGAUGAACAGACUUUAAAAUUUAGAAAAGCAGUUGAGUUCAUGUCAUGUCUGAUGAAACUUGAAGCUAAUUACAGUCAUUCCAAAUAUAUUUUACUUGAUAUUGCCGACCAUGUUGAUCCUUCUCCAGUAGGAGUGGUUCAUGCCUGAUUAAGGUUUAACUAAGUAUUUCUUAUAUGAUACGUAUGCUAAGUGUUAAUGGAAAAAAUUCAGAUAUGUUAAACCUUGUCAAUGGAAAAAAGUUGCAGACUAUGUACAGCUUCAAGAAUGGGAACCUGAUUUGUAAUAGGAACCCAAAUAAAUACGAGAGUAACUUUAUCAAGCUCAUCAUUGAUCCCUUGUAGGAGAAAAACCAAGACCAGGACUAAUCUUACUUACAACCUGGGCCUUGCAAGUCUUGGCUGAUCAGAAGAGAAGGUAAUCAUCAUCAAAGAACAAUUGGAAAAUACAUAACUUUUGUUACAAACAAUCUUCAAAGGCAAAAUGUCCUCCUUGGUUUGGUGGAUGAGGAAGGAUAAUUUCAGCAUAAAACAAACAAAUAACUUAGGAAAAUCCAUUUGAUAAGGUAAUUAUGAAACUCUUUUACCUUAUGACAGUCCCAAAGAAACAACUAAUCCAUUAAGAAGAGGAUCCCAGCUUUCAUCUAUCCAAACUAUGCUACGAUAAUUGAAGUAGAAGCUAAAUUUCUUCUUUCUAACUCAUCCACUAAGACUUAAAGCAGAUGGAAGAGAAGUCAUGUACUGCAAACUGGGAUGCUUUCUCUAUUUCUUUCAAAAACAAUUUCCUUCCACUAGCGUUUUUAUGUGCUUGAAAAUUCUUUAUCCACAGAGAAGACAAACACCACCAAAAAACAAAUGAAAUAUACUUCAAUCAUAUUUAGCAAACCUCAGGCUUUAGAAAUUGUAUUCUACAAAAAUUAUAAGCAACAAACCAAUUAGAACAUUAAAAUAAAAAUCAUCAGAAAUAAGACUAAAUAAUUGAACGGUUAGGUAAGAUGCAUCAUAUGCCCUUGCAAGAGUAAAAAACAAGAAACCACAUAGCAUGUUGCUUUGAUGGUCCUCUCCCUAAUUUACAUCCUAAGCUUACGCUGUUUAUCAGUGCAGAGAGUAUAUGUUACGCCUAGUCAACGGAAAAAAGAGAUAUGCAGAUAUCUGUCAUCAUCACUGAUCCCUUUGUAAGCUGGGACUUAAAAUAAAAAUACAUAUUUUUUUAAUCUUCAAAGGCAAUUACAGUUAAAUUAUAUAUAUAUAUAUAUAUAUAUAUAUAUAAAAGCUAAGUGUUGAGAAUUCAGAAAACUACAGAUUAUAAGGCCUUGAGAAAAAGCUGCUCAUAUUCAGGUAACUCUCUUUACUAAAGAAAAAACUAAUGAAAAACAGGUAACUAAGACAUCGGGGAAAAUAACAUUGCAACUGAC
Molecule: long non-coding RNA, 2358 nt
Filed under: Vigna radiata
Lineage: Eukaryota; Viridiplantae; Streptophyta; Magnoliopsida; Fabales; Fabaceae
Description: long non-coding RNA (VRAD_LNC011088)
Source: RNAcentral